UACACUCAAUUCCAAAGUAUGUUCAGUUUCCAGAAAGCUUUUGAUUAGAGCUCUCCAGUAAGAUUGUCAAGAAUGAGUUCGUUCAUUUUGUUGCAAGGAUACAUUAGCAUGGAACCACUCUAGUCAUCCUGGACUUAGCAGCAUUUCUUUGUCUUAGCUUAAAAAUGAUAACUCAUGAUUCCAGGUUCCUAAACGCUGCUAAAUUGGCACUUGGUUGAUUAAAG
RNAcentral lists this long non-coding RNA (224 nucleotides) under Bos taurus (domestic cattle). RNAcentral's name for it is "long non-coding RNA NONBTAT000903". The record is from RNAcentral. Lineage: Eukaryota; Metazoa; Chordata; Mammalia; Artiodactyla; Bovidae.